CCGUCUCUUCCAGGCCUGCUCCUGCUCUGCCUUCUGGCUCCGCGCUUCAGCCCCCAGAGCCCUCUCGCUGCAGCAGAGCUCGAGCUGAUCAAUGCCACGUCUUCGGUCCCCAGCAUGAACGGGACGGCAGACAGCCCUCUCACCUGCCACACCUUCCAGUGCGCGGGGGAGAGAUGCUACCAGGAUCCGGCCUAUGCCAAUGACACUGGGUCCUGCCACAACGCCGCCUCC
Long non-coding RNA from Gavialis gangeticus (Gharial), 231 nucleotides. RefSeq lists it as uncharacterized. The transcript has 3 exons. The record is from RefSeq and is a predicted model, not a curated record. Lineage: Eukaryota; Metazoa; Chordata; Crocodylia; Gavialidae.